UGGGGAAUUUUGGACAAUGGGGGAAACCCUGAUCCAGCCAUCCCGCGUGUGCGAUGAAGGCCUUCGGGUUGUAAAGCACUUUUGGCAGGAAAGAAACGUCGCGGGUUAAUACCCCGCGGAACUGACGGUACCUGCAGAAUAAGCACCGGCUAACUACGUGCCAGCAGCCGCGGUAAUACGUAGGGUGCAAGCGUUAAUCGGAAUUACUGGGCGUAAAGCGUGCGCAGGCGGUUCGGAAAGAAAGAUGUGAAAUCCCAGAGCUUAACUUUGGAACUGCAUUUUUAACUACCGGGCUAGAGUGUGUCAGAGGGAGGUGGAAUUCCGCGUGUAGCAGUGAAAUGCGUAGAUAUGCGGAGGAACACCGAUGGCGAAGGCAGCCUCCUGGGAUAACACUGACGCUCAUGCACGAAAGCGUGGGGAGCAAACAGGAUUAGAUACCCUGGUAGUCCACGCCCUAAACGAUGUCAACUAGCUGUUGGGGUCUUCGGACCUUGGUAGCGCAGCUAACGCGUGAAGUUGACCGCCUGGGGAGUACGGUCGCAAGAUUAAAACUCAAAGGAAUUGAC
This 566-nucleotide ribosomal RNA is filed under the name uncultured bacterium. RNAcentral's name for it is "partial 16S ribosomal RNA". It matches the Rfam family "Bacterial small subunit ribosomal RNA", at positions 355 to 914 of the family's 1533-position model. The record is from RNAcentral.